Molecule: ribosomal RNA, 253 nt
Filed under: uncultured bacterium
Lineage: Bacteria
Description: partial 16S ribosomal RNA
Rfam family: Bacterial small subunit ribosomal RNA
Source: RNAcentral
UACGUAGGGCGCAAGCGUUGUCCGGAAUUAUUGGGCGUAAAGAGCUCGUAGGCGGUUUGUCGCGUCUGCUGUGAAAACCUGAGGCUCAACCUCGGGCUUGCAGUGGGUACGGGCAGACUAGAGUGCGGUAGGGGAGACCGGAAUUCCUGGUGUAGCGGUGGAAUGCGCAGAUAUCAGGAGGAACACCGAUGGCGAAGGCAGGUCUCUGGGCCGCAACUGACGCUGAGGAGCGAAAGCAUGGGGAGCGAACAGG